UUGUUCAUCUUCAAGAGAGAAACACCAUAUCGAAACAGCAUCCGAAUCGAAUUAACAAACGAUACAAAAUACUGAACAACCUGACUCUUCGAAUCCAAAUCAAUGGUCUUAAACAAGAACUGUUGACCGUCCCAAAUUCCAAGAGACAUAGAACUAUCAGAAGCAGAAGGACCUUUGACUUUGAGAUUCAACAUAUUUGUAAAGUUCAACGCGUGGUAGUUUUUAGGGUGGAGAAUAGAGGCGCCGGCUUCGAAGGUUUCUCCGGCGAUGGUGACGGUGGCCAUGCGGCCGCCGACGACGGGAUGGCGCUCGAAGAUGUGGAUGGUGGUGGUGGGGGUUGGGGAGUAUUGACGGAGGAAGUGGGCGACGGAGGAGCCGGCGAUGCCGGAUCCGAUGAUGCAGAUGUCGGUGGUGGAAGAUGAGGGGAGUGUGAGAGAGAGGAGGGUGAGGGUUAGGAGAGUAGUGGUGAACAUGGUGUGGUGUGGUAAGAAUUGCCGGUGGUGAUUUGGGAUCUCCGGCGAGUGUGUGGGUUUAAGGAGAUGAGCAAUCAAAGGAUCCGGUUUCCGGUCAUGGAAUUACGUAAAUACAUAUAUUUUUAAUGUUAUAAAUAAAAUUAUUUAUAUUGUUGAUUUAAGAAGCGAUCUUCCGCGUUUCAUUAAAUGAGUGAAAAGAAAAGAUUUGGAAGGAAAUAAUUUUUAGUUGUGUUUCAGAGUAUCAUUAAAAGGGAGAAAAGAAUAAAAAAUGAGAGAUUUUUUGUUUAAAAUUAAUUUCUCCAAUUUGAAAAGAAACGGAGAGAAAAGAAAAUGAGAGAAUCUUUUGUUUUCUCUCCUUAACUUAACUCGGGAACAUAGUGUAAGUCUAUGGAGUAUUGAAGAUAUUUUCCUUAACACCAUGUCUAAUGGUUCAAGCUUUAAGGUCAUGGGAUGGGGAGGCCUUAACUAUAUGUACGUGUCACAUUAUCUAUUUGACCCUAUUUCACUUCACCUCACAUCAAGAAAAUGGUUUAACAUCUGUUAGCGUCCCUUAAAUUAAUUAAAAUACACACAUAUAUAUAGCAUGUUGUGUGUGUGUAAUUUUUUUAAUGUCUGAUUCCCUUCUCUUUCCUAGUUAACUUCUAACACGUUAAACUUAUAAUGCCCCUUAACACUUUUCAGGAGCGGUACGACAGAUGUUAACGGAUGCCAACUAGAAUUAACACAUAUGGGUGUUAGAGUAUAUCAGACGGCCUAAAGGAUGUUUUUCGUCAUGUGAACGUCACAUCUCUCAUUCAGCAAAGGUAUUUUAAAGCAAAAAGUUAAUGUAUUGACUCAAGCUUCUUCAAUAAUUACAUAAUUAUUUUUUAAAACAAAAUCAACUGAUAGUAGAGGUAAAUGUUGUAGAAGUGGGUGAGCAAGAAGGCGUGAAUCAAACCACACUUCGGACAAAUUGGGGUCUUUCAUGAGGUGGGGGCGGUGGUGCAAGGCGUUUUGAGUGUGAUGUUGGCGAACCACGUCCUACUUCAGAUAGUCUAAGUGGGGAUGAGUUGUCAAUACAAGAAAAUGAAUAGGAAAAUAUAAUAGAUAAAGUUACAAUUAUUUGUUUUGUUAUAACGAUUAAAAAACAUGUCACAAUUGCUAUGGUAG
This 1622-nucleotide long non-coding RNA is filed under the name Helianthus annuus (common sunflower). RNAcentral describes it as "hypothetical non coding rna". Lineage: Eukaryota; Viridiplantae; Streptophyta; Magnoliopsida; Asterales; Asteraceae. The record is from RNAcentral.